Molecule: ribosomal RNA, 253 nt
Filed under: uncultured prokaryote
Description: partial 16S ribosomal RNA
Rfam family: Bacterial small subunit ribosomal RNA
Source: RNAcentral
GACAGAGGUGGCAAGCGUUGUUCGGAUUUACUGGGCGUAAAGCGUGCGUAGGUGGUUCGGUAAGACCUGUGGGAAAUCCCUGGGCUUAACCCAGGAAGGUCGCAGGUGACUGCCGUGCUUGAGGACGGGAGAGGAGAGCGGAAUUCCCGGUGUAGCGGUGAAAUGCGUAGAGAUCGGGAAGAAGGCCGGUGGCGAAGGCGGCUCUCUGGAACGUUCCUGACACUGAGGCACGAAAGCGUGGGGAGCAAACAGG